CAGCAGCCGCGGUAAUACGUAGGGUGCAAGCGUUAAUCGGAAUUACUGGGCGUAAAGCGUGCGCAGGCGGUUUGUUAAGACAGAUGUGAAAUCCCCGGGCUUAACCUGGGAACUGCAUUUGUGACUGGCAAGCUAGAGUCUGGCAGAGGGGGGUGGAAUUCCGCGUGUAGCAGUGAAAUGCGUAGAUAUGCGGAGGAACACCGAUGGCGAAGGCAGCCCCCUGGGCCAACACUGACGCUCAUGCACGAAAGCGUGGGGAGCAAACAGGAUUAGAUACCCGGGUAGUCCCUGUCUCUUAUAC
This 301-nucleotide ribosomal RNA is filed under the name uncultured bacterium. Its description in RNAcentral is "partial 16S ribosomal RNA". It matches the Rfam family "Bacterial small subunit ribosomal RNA", at positions 509 to 807 of the family's 1533-position model. The record is from RNAcentral.